RNAcentral lists this ribosomal RNA (252 nucleotides) under uncultured bacterium. RNAcentral describes it as "partial 16S ribosomal RNA". It matches the Rfam family "Bacterial small subunit ribosomal RNA", at positions 524 to 776 of the family's 1533-position model. The record is from RNAcentral.
UACGGAGGAUGCGAGCGUUAUCCGGAUUUAUUGGGUUUAAAGGGUGCGUAGGCGGGCUUUUAAGUCAGCGGUAAAAAUUCGGGGCUCAACCCCGUCCGGCCGUUGAAACUGGGGGCCUUGAGUGGGCGAGAAGAAGGCGGAAUGUGUGGUGUAGCGGUGAAAUGCAUAGAUAUCACGCAGAACCCCGAUUGCGAAGGCAGCCUUCCGGCGCCCUACUGACGCUGAGGCACGAAAGUGCGGGGAUCGAACAGG